Molecule: ribosomal RNA, 405 nt
Filed under: uncultured prokaryote
Also listed under: 1 other name
Description: bacterial SSU rRNA
Rfam family: Bacterial small subunit ribosomal RNA
Source: RNAcentral
UCGGGAAUAUUGCACAAUGGAGGAAACUCUGAUGCAGUGACGCCGCGUAUAGGACGAAGGUCUUCGGAUUGUAAACUAUUGUCGUUAGGGAAGAUACAAGACAGUACCUAAGGAGGAAGCUCUGGCUAACUACGUGCCAGCAGCCGCGGUAAUACGUAGAGAGCAAGCGUUAUCCGGAUUUAUUGGGUGUAAAGGGUGCGUAGAUGGGAAAAUAAGUUAGUUGUGAAAACCCUCGGCUCAACUGAGGACUUGCAACUAAAACUGUUUUUCUUGAGUGCAGGAGAGGAAAGUGGAAUUCCUAGUGUAGCGGUUAAAUGCGUAGAUAUUAGGAAGAAUACCAGUGGCGAAGGCGACUUUCUGGACUGUAACUGACAUUGAGGCACGAAAGUGUGGGUAGCAAACAGG